GCUAAAUGCGGAAGAGAUAAGUGCUGAAAGCAUCUAAGCACGAAACUUGCCCCGAGAUGAGUUCUCCCUGAGACUUUAAGUCUCCUGAAGGAACGUUAAAGACGAUGACGUUGAUAGGCCGGGUGUGUAAGCGCAGCGAUGCGUUGAGCUAACCGGUACUAAUGAACCGUGAGGCUUAACCUUACAACGCCGAAG
Molecule: ribosomal RNA, 195 nt
Filed under: Klebsiella pneumoniae
Lineage: Bacteria; Pseudomonadati; Pseudomonadota; Gammaproteobacteria; Enterobacterales; Enterobacteriaceae
Also listed under: 1 other name
Description: partial 23S ribosomal RNA
Rfam family: Bacterial large subunit ribosomal RNA
Source: RNAcentral